GACCCACUAGCUCAGUCGGUAGAGCACCUGACUUUUAAUCAGGGUGUCGUUGGUUCGAGUCCAACGUGGGUCACCA
This 76-nucleotide transfer RNA is filed under the name Anaeromusa sp. RNAcentral's name for it is "tRNA-Lys". It matches the Rfam family "tRNA". From Rfam's summary of the family: Transfer RNA (tRNA) molecules are approximately 80 nucleotides in length. RNAcentral also lists the same sequence under 1 other name. Lineage: Bacteria; Bacillati; Bacillota; Negativicutes; Selenomonadales; Sporomusaceae. The record is from RNAcentral.